This 456-nucleotide ribosomal RNA is filed under the name uncultured Prevotella sp. RNAcentral's name for it is "partial 16S ribosomal RNA". It matches the Rfam family "Bacterial small subunit ribosomal RNA", at positions 341 to 792 of the family's 1533-position model. The record is from RNAcentral. Lineage: Bacteria; Pseudomonadati; Bacteroidota; Bacteroidia; Bacteroidales; Prevotellaceae.
ACGGGAGGCAGCAGUGAGGAAUAUUGGUCAAUGGGCGCGAGCCUGAACCAGCCAAGUAGCGUGCAGGAUGACGGCCCUCCGGGUUGUAAACUGCUUUUAGUUGGGAAUAAAAGAGCGUACGUGUACGCUGUAUUGUAUGUACCAUCAGAAAAAGGACCGGCUAAUUCCGUGCCAGCAGCCGCGGUAAUACGGAAGGUCCGGGCGUUAUCCGGAUUUAUUGGGUUUAAAGGGUGCGCAGGCGGGCUGCUAAGUCUCCGGUGAAAUGUCAGGGCUCAACCUUGGCACUGCCGGAGAUACUGGCGGCCUUGAGAGUGGCGGAGGUAUCCGGAAUGUGUGGUGUAGCGGUGAAAUGCAUAGAUAUCACACAGAACACCGAUUGCGAAGGCAGGAUACCAUACCAUAUCUGACGCUCAGGCACGAAAGCGUGGGGAUCGAACAGGAUUAGAUACCCUGGUA